RNA transcript from Triticum aestivum (bread wheat), 5947 nucleotides. It is a transcript of the gene named putative pentatricopeptide repeat-containing protein At1g19290, with no coding region annotated. NCBI's taxonomy places the organism in Eukaryota, Viridiplantae, Streptophyta, Magnoliopsida, Poales, Poaceae. The record is from RefSeq and is a predicted model, not a curated record. The transcript is spliced from 5 exons.
UCUCGUCCUGUCUCCCGUUCUUCUCCGACCACCCGACUCGCCGGCCGCCACCUUCCCAUUUACCGCCCCGCCGGCCGCCACCCACCGCUUCCGCCUUCCCAUUUACCACCCCGCCGCCGCAGCAAGACCACCACAUACCUCUCCGACCAAUACAUGCUCCAGAGAUGCCACUUACUCCGACCUGUUUCCUCCCCCCUCCUCCGCCGCCGCCCCAUCCACUCCUCCGCUCCGCCCCAAGCCGACGGCGAGGUCGGCGCCGCGACCGACACCACUCUACUAGGCCGUCUCACUCGCCUCCUCCUCCUCCACCGCUUCCCCGCCGUCUCCCGCCUCCUCUCCUCCUCCCCGCUCACACACGCCCUCCUCCACGCCGCCCUCCGCCGCGUCCGCCUCGACCCGGACGCCGCCCUCCACCUCUUCCGCCUUGCCCCGUACCGCCCCUCCCUCCUCGCCCACGCCCAGCUCCUUCACAUCCUCGCCCACGCCCGCCGCCUGCCCGCCGCGCGCGCCCUCGUCGCCUCGCUCCUCUCCGCCCGCUCCAGCUCCGCAGCCCCAUCCCUCUUCCCCCACCUCGCCGAGGUGUACAAAGACUUCUCCUUCUCCGCCGCCUCCUUCGACCUGCUCCUCCGAGCCCACGCAGACGCUGGCCAGCUUACCGACGCCCUCCACGUGUUCGAUGAAAUGGGGAAGUUCGGGUGCCGCCGCACCCUGCGGUCCUGCAACCGCCUGCUCAACCAGCUUGUACAGGCUGGGGAUGUGGGCACCGCGGUGGCUGUGUUUGAGCAGAUGCGGUGUGAUGGUACACUGCCGGACGAGUUCACGGUGGCCAUCAUGGCAAAGGCGUACUGCAGGGAUGGGAGGGUGGCACAAGCAGUGGAUUUCGUGCAGGACACGGAGAGGAUGGGUGUGGAGGUGAACCUUGUGGCAUAUCAUGCGGUUAUGGAUGGGUAUUGUGGAGUAGGACAGGCCGAGGCUGCGAGAAGGAUUUUGCUGUCACUGGAGAGUAAGGGUCUGUCACCGAAUGUUGUGACAUAUACCUUACUUGUAAAGGGUUACUGUAAGGAGGGGAGGGUGGAGGAGGCUGAGAGGGUGGUAAGGGAAAUGAAAGAAAAUGAGAAGAUUGUGGUUGACGAGGUAGCCUAUGGUGCGGUGAUCAAUGGCUAUUGCCAAAGGGGAAGAAUGGAAGAUGCCAACAGGGUAAGAGCUGAGAUGAUUGAUGUCGGACUGCAGGUUAAUUUGUUUGUGUACAACACACUGAUCAAUGGAUAUUGCAAGUUGGGGAGGAUGUUUGAAGUAGAGAAACUUUUACAGGAGAUGGAGGACAGAGGGGUGAGUCUGGAUAAAUACAGUUACAAUACUCUAGUAGAUGGGUAUUGCAGAAAUGGUUCCAUGAACAAGGCAUUUGCAACCUGUGAUAUGAUGGUAAGGAAUGGGUUCGCAGGAACAACACUAACAUAUAACACGCUAUUGAAUGGUUUUUGCUCACGUGGUGCUAUUGAUGAUGCACUUAAAUUGUGGUUCUUGAUGUUGAAGAGAGGAGUAGUGCCUAAUGAAAUUAGCUGUAGCACACUGCUGGAUGGUUUCUUCAAAGCAGGUAAAACCGAGAAGGCCUUGAACCUUUGGAAGGAAACCUUAGCAAGGGGUUUGGGAAGAAACGUGGUUACAGUUAACACAGUUAUCAAUGGGCUGUGUAAGAUUAGGAGGAUGGUUGAAGCAGAGGAGCUAUUUGGUAGGAUGAAGGAAUGGAGAUGUCCUGCUGACAGCUUGACUUACAGAACACUAAUUGAUGGUUACUGUAAAAUAGGUGACCUGGAUAGAGCUACUCAAAUUAGGGUUGACAUGGAACAUUUAGGCUUUGCUCCUUCAGUUGAAAUGUUCAAUUCUUUCAUAACCGGAUUCUUUGUAGCUAGGCAAAGUGGCAAGGUGAAUGAUAUCGUUGUUGAAAUGACUGCAAAGGGAUUUUCUCCUAAUACAGUCACUUAUGGAGCCCUGAUAGCUGGAUGGUGUAAAGAGGGCAAUCUGCAUGAUGCCUAUGAUUUGUAUUUUGAAAUGGCCGAGAAAGGUCUGGCUCCAAAUCUCUUCAUCUGCAGUGCUUUAGUGAGCUGUUUCUAUAGACAGGGAAAGGUUGAUGAGGCAAAUUUGAUGUUGCAAAAUCUUGUCGGCACAGACAUGAUUCCAAACUGCAGUGCAAACACGCUUGAUAUUGGUAAAGUAGCACAUGUCAUUGAAUCUGUUGCUGGCGGAAAUCAUCAGUCUGCAAAAAUUAUGUGGAACAUUGUUAUUUUUGGGCUGUGCAAAUUGGGUAGAGUUUCAGAUGCUAGAAAUUUGUUUGAGGAUCUGAAAGUAAAGGGAUUCGUUCCUGAUAACUACACUUAUUCUAGCCUCAUUCAUGGUUGCUCUGCCUCAGGUUUUGUCGAUGUAGCUUUUGGCCUGAGGGAUGCGAUGUUGGGCGUUGGUCUUACUCCAAAUAUCGUAACAUACAAUUCUCUCAUCUAUGGCCUCUGCAAGUCUGGGAAUGUUCAAAGGGCAGUUAGUCUUUUCAGUAAGUUGCAAUCAAAGGGUAUGUCCCCUAAUGCUAUCACCUAUAAUACCCUGAUUGAUGGACAUUGCAAGGAUGGUAAUACAACUGAAGCCUUCAAGUUAAAACAAAAGAUGAUCGAGCAAGGUAUUCAGCCUAAUGUAUUCACCUAUUCUAUACUGAUCCAUGGUCUCUGUACUCAAGGGUAUAUGGAAGAAGCAAUCAAGCUUCUGGAUCAAAUGAUUGAGAAUAAUGUGGAUCCAAAUUAUGUUACAUAUUGGACACUGAUUCAAGGUUAUGUUCGGUGUGGUAAUAUGAAAGAGAUUUCCAAGCUUUACAAUGAGAUGCAUAUCCGUGGACUUCUGCCUGCCAAUGGUCACUGUCUCGAGAGGUUUUAAAGGUGGUGGAUAUCAUGCAAACUUCUCCAGUCAAGAAGAGGAUGAAGACAGUUCUCAGAGCUUCCUGGCGUCAUCGGAGGUGGCCUCAUCGAAGAUGACAGUCAGUUUCUUGCAGAUAAGAUGCUUUUCCUUUGUAAGGAUGUCGGCCUGCAUCGCCGCUGGCUUGCUGGCAAUGUGCGUGCUCUGGUGGACGGAGCCUAGGGAGACACGAAUCUUAUGUCGGCGAGGUGGGGAAUGAAUAAUAUUCAUAUACAGAGCUUACACUGGGGGAUCAUUCACACAAUAGCUUUGCCUUCAUGCUUGGAUGGAACACUCCUUAAGGCUGAUAAUCGCAAGGAGAGGUCAGAGGAGAAGAAGCACGUGGUGGACAAGCACACACCGGGGAAGCACCUGACAUGGCAUCACACUUCUGUACACCGUGGCCAUCUGCACAUGAAUAGGCAAGAUUGUGCGCAGCAAGAGGCGUGCCACUAUUUACCUCCAGGUACUACAUAUCCAGUGAGUAACUCAUAUUUAAUUGUCGGGUAAGUAAAUAUGUCAUGGUCAGAAGUCAUUGGCUAUGUGCUACGCAUAGCCAUUCCUCGAAACUGGAAGUUGGAACAGUACAAUCUGCAAUCCUGUCAUAAAGCACAUUGCGCAUUCAAUUGUUUUCAAGGACAAUAGGUUUUUUAAUCUUCCUCUCACUGUGAAAAUGAACCUUGCACUCAGCGGAUGAUUUGAACUACGUGUUCAGUAACAGCGCUAAGCUUCAUAGGGUGACUAAGGUUUGAUGGGAUAACACUAUACAAGCAUGAUCUUUAGGUAGAACAGAUAUAUGGCCUGUCCAGUUUUAUUGUCUCAUCGAGUUUAAGGCAUUGGAUAUCCUUCUCAGAAAAUAGCAUUUCCCCCAUGUGAUCUGGAUAUGUUGCAUUUGCCCCAUGUGAGAGAAAUAUCAUUUUGAUAUCCUCCUGAGAAAAUAACAGUCUUCGCAAGAUAAAGCUAACAGUACACCAUCUGUUAUUGGUUAUUAGAGUAUAUGCUAAUUUUGCAUUUGCAUGCCUGCUGGUUUAUGAUGGCAUUGAAAGAUAAGAGCCCUAUGCAUAUCUUGCUUGCACCUGUUCGGAUUUCCUGUUUUGGUGCUAGAUUGUUGUCCAUGAGGUCUUAUCGAUUGAUUCAAUAGUUCUAGGAACUAAAGAAAUCUAAAGGCGCAUAUGUUAUCUAAUUUUGUGGUGCUUUCAGCUUUGAUCUUACAACUGAACCUGAAUACGAGUACUACUUACUUGGAUGGCUAAACUUGGAAGUCAGAAACUAAAUCUGUGACCCCUGUGUUGCCCCCUCGAUAAAAAUGUACAUUGAGGUCAGCUAUCUUGACCGUCACUUUUUUUCGUUUCAGUGCAGCAUGACCAUAUGACAUGAAGUUUUAUCAUUGCUCCUUGGCAUACUACUAAUAGUUAUGUGUCAUCUAAAAAUCUGGCGAACUGUUGUGAUAGAUUAAGGGGCUAUGGGCAGCUACACUUCAUGAUUUUCCUCGUUAAUAUCCAUAUAUUUUUGUCAAUGUCUUACACAAAAUUUUGGCUAUAGACCGCACAAAGUGAUCUUACCUGCGCUAUAGGGUUCAGAUGUGCGUAUGACUAGAUGAACAUUUUCAUUUCUGGUCAUGGUUGCAGCAAGCUAUAAGAAACUAUAUAUCCAAUAAAAUUCAAGUUACACUGAAACCACUUUUAGAGUUUUAAUUGAGAAUUUCUCAAAAUUUACCGUAUGUUGGCACGGUAAUUAAUUUUAAUGAAUAUGUGUAAUUUCAAGUUCACACUGAUAUUCUUUCGGAAGAUACUAACAAAAUCAACAUGAAUAGUGACGUUACUGUUCGUCAUUAUUGGAAUCAGGAUUUGUUUUUCCAUGCAUUCAAAUAGCUUUGAGUUCGACUAUAUAAACUUUUACGCGUUUAUAGAGCAUUACUUCCCCAACAUAUGUAGGCUUUUGAUAAUUUGUGUAAUAAACUUUGAAGUGCCUAUAGUGUCCAUGUCGUUUUUCCCCGUACAACCGAAUAUUUCCCCCAGAAAGCCAUGGCUUAGCCUGGCUGAACACGUCAACCAUAAACUCUUCCAUCUGUCCGCUAUGUCCCAUUAGGGCAUGGCCAGUGCAUAGCCCCAGUGUGAUGCCUCACAUGCCAUGUAGGAUCGAUGUCAGAAAAAGUAGGUUCGGAUAGGGAUGCAGGAGGCGGAUGCUUGGAGAGAAAAAUUGUGGUCUGGUGCAUAAAGUUGGAAAAGUUGAAGUGAAGAGUAGGAUGCAUGUGUAAUGAGAGUCUACUUUAUAUUAUUUGAUGAUGCCCACUAGUAGUAGCUUGCAUUGGAGAGAAAAAAUCAAUAUAGAUGCUUGAAACUACUUUUUGUCAUGGGGCAUCUGUAUCCAUAUGCCACCAUUGUACGUGCCCUUAGUAUAUAGAGUAAGAUGCAUAUCCAUGCAUGACGUAUAUGUGCAUAGGACAUAUCAGUUAGCUAGCCUGGCAUUGUUUUGCCAGCUCAGUCAGCAGAUUAACUAACUAAACAAGAAAUUCUGAUGACAUCCAACAUAUGGGCGGUAAUCUCUAGCAUGCCAGCCAGCCAACCUAUGCAUUUAUUUUACCUGAAGUGAAGAGCACCGCAACUCGGCCAGCCUAUAUAUUCAGUCCAAGACGUACGAUAGAUAGGAUAGAGCCUGUGCUAAACCCAUACAAGUACAUCAGUAUCUGAAGAUGAGCUCUCCUGGGAAGACAUCGUGGCCAGAGGUGCUCCACUGGUCUGUGUACCCGGCGAUGGACAAGAUCAAGAGCGACAGGCCGGAGCUGACCAUCGACUCGCUGCCGGUGGGCACCAUCCCAGCCCCGCCGGGCUUCCAGUCGGACCGCGUCCUCGUCUUCUACCAGCAGGAGGAGGGGGUCGUCCACCGGGUCGUAGUCAUCCCCGUCGUCGGCUAGCCAGCUAGUUGAUCUUAUACUCUUGAAAUCUGUGGUGAUCGGUCUGAUAUGACCGUUAUGCAAAACAAAUAAAUGUACGUCUUCACAGGCACUAUGUGU